GCUUUCGUGGUGUAGUGGUCAGCACGCUCGACGCGUAUUCGAGAGGUCCGUGGUUCGAGUCCCGGCGAAGGCA
This 73-nucleotide transfer RNA is filed under the name Stegodyphus mimosarum. It matches the Rfam family "tRNA". From Rfam's summary of the family: Transfer RNA (tRNA) molecules are approximately 80 nucleotides in length. Their secondary structure includes four short double-helical elements and three loops (D, anti-codon, and T loops). The record is from Rfam by way of RNAcentral. Lineage: Eukaryota; Metazoa; Arthropoda; Arachnida; Araneae; Eresidae.